UACGUAGGGGGCAAGCGUUGUCCGGAAUCAUUGGGCGUAAAGCGCGUGUAGGCGGCUUGGUAAGUCUGCUCUGAAAGCCCGGGGCUCAACCCCGGGAGGCGGGUGGAUACUGUCAAGCUCGAGUCCGGAAGAGGAGUGUGGAAUUCCCGGUGUAGCAGUGAAAUGCGUAGAGAUCGGGAGGAACAUCAGUUGCGAAGGCGGCUCUCUGGACCAGCACUGACACUGAGGCACGAAAGCGUGGGGAGCAAACAGG
This 253-nucleotide ribosomal RNA is filed under the name uncultured bacterium. Its description in RNAcentral is "partial 16S ribosomal RNA". It matches the Rfam family "Bacterial small subunit ribosomal RNA", at positions 524 to 776 of the family's 1533-position model. The record is from RNAcentral.